UAGCCGUAAACGAUACUCGCUAGGUGUCGGCCACGGUGCGACCGUUGUCGGUGCCGUAGGGAAGCCGUGAAGCGAGCCACCUGGGAAGUACGGCCGCAAGGCUGAAACUUAAAGGAAUUGGCGGGGGAGCACCACAACGGGUGGAGCUUGCGGUUUAAUUGGAUUCAACGCCGGAAAUCUUACCGGGACCGACAGCAACAUGAAGGCCAGGCUGAAGACUUUGCCGGAUUAGCUGAGAGGAGGUGCAUGGCGUAGUCGUUGU
This 262-nucleotide ribosomal RNA is filed under the name uncultured archaeon. RNAcentral describes it as "partial 16S ribosomal RNA". It matches the Rfam family "Archaeal small subunit ribosomal RNA", at positions 748 to 1010 of the family's 1478-position model. The record is from RNAcentral.